RNAcentral lists this ribosomal RNA (440 nucleotides) under uncultured bacterium. RNAcentral's name for it is "partial 16S ribosomal RNA". It matches the Rfam family "Bacterial small subunit ribosomal RNA", at positions 338 to 795 of the family's 1533-position model. The record is from RNAcentral.
CCUACGGGAGGCAGCAGUGGGGAAUAUUGGACAAUGGGGGGAACCCUGAUCCAGCGACGCCGCGUGCGUGAAGAAGGAUUUCGGUAUGUAAAGCUCUAUCAGCAGGGAAGAAAAUGACGGUACCUGACUAAGAAGCACCGGCGAACUACGUGCCAGCAGCCGCGGUAAUACGUAGGGGGCAAGCGUUAUCCGGAUUUACUGGGUUGAAUGGGAGCGUAGACGGUGCAGCAAGUCUGAUGGGAAAGGUCGGGGCGCAACCCCGGGACUGCAUUGGAAACUGUUGGACUGGAGUACAGGAGAGGUAAGUGGAAUGCCUAGUGUAGCGGUGAAAUGCGUAGAUAUUAGGCGGAACACCAGUGGCGAAGGCGGCUUACUGGACUGUAACUGACGUUGAGGCUCGAAAGCGUGGGGAGCAAACAGGAUUAGAUACCCGUGUAGUC